RNAcentral lists this long non-coding RNA (3134 nucleotides) under Fragaria vesca (wild strawberry). RNAcentral describes it as "long non-coding RNA (FVES_LNC003120)". Lineage: Eukaryota; Viridiplantae; Streptophyta; Magnoliopsida; Rosales; Rosaceae. The record is from RNAcentral.
AAAGGUUUAAAGCUUGCCCCCAUUCUGAUAAUCGCGUCCAUGGUUCCACUCAUUCCUUUUCUACGUUAUCAAGCCUCGUCCCGAACGGAAUGUCAAUACCUGCUUUCAACAUUAGAAUCAAUCAUCAAUCGUAAUUAAAAUCUAAAAAACUUGAUACAGAGGAAAUUCAAAUCAAUCAAUAGAGGUGAAAGGUUUUUCUUAUCGUUAGCAAGGAAUAUAUACGCGUCGAUGGUACCAAGCGACGUCCCUCAUAGAACGUCAACACUCUUGCCCUAAUUUUAAUGCGUGCGUCCAUGGCUUCUCUACUAUAAUCUCAAGGCUUUUUGUUCAAUUCCCACAGACGGCGCCAACUGUUGGUGCAAAAAAAUUCAGAAGAGAGAUUUCCCAACAAAGAUCUCACUCCUUUGAUUCUUGAGGAGCCUUGGACGCAUCCGUAUUACGAUUGAUCAUGGGGAGAAGGUACCUGCAAAACAAAUACACACUCCGACGCCCAAGUCAAUUUCGAUUCAAGCAGGUACAAUAAAAGAAAUCGGUUCGAUACUAUUACCGUUGUUAUCCAUGAUUGUUCCUCUCCAUUCCCCUCCAUUCCUCUCCAUAAGCGUGUGAAUUUAUAGACCUUUUAUUUCUUGGUCCUCACUUCCCGUUGUAGUGGGAGUAGUGGGAGGAGCAUGUUCUCCAUUAACGAUCAUGUUUCACGUUGUUUAUCAUGAUAGUGUUCAUCUUGGGCUUUGACCAUCGAUCGGGUCUAAUUAAUUAAAUGGGGGUCCAAGCCGAAAUUUUAUAUCCCCACACUCUCUCUGCGCCGGGCACCUUAAAUUCUGAUUUCAUCUCCCAUCAUAUUCAACCUCGAGCUACUUCUACAGUCCUACUCGAGUAGUUCUUCAUCUCCUUCGCCCACUUGAAGCACUGUAUGUAUCUCAGUCUUCAAUUCUCCUUCGGCAGAGCUCUGGACACAGCUACACCCAAAGGAGAACGGGUACAAACCAUCUUAAGCAUCUUGAGUGUUGGUUCAAUUUUUGAUUAAUGGCUGGAAUGGGUUUCUUCCAAAUUGAAGCUCAAUUCCAUCACCAGUAUUCUCUCAUCUCUCAAAUGGCUUCUCUUUUUUUUUUUUUUUUUUUUUUUUCUUCUUCGUAUGGGUUACUCACAUGAUGCAGCCUUAAAUAGAAUCAUAGCAAAUUUGUUGAUCAAAUUUACUUACUUUUAUUGUUCGAGUUCACAGUAUUGAUUAAAUUUCUUUGUUUUUUUGUUGUUGUUUAAGUUCAUCAGUUGACGGGAACUCUCAAAAGAGAAAGAGAAAGAGGACGUCAUACGGUUUGAUGUGUUUUGUAAAAGAUGAACAUGAAUGAUUUUUCUUUUUUGGUCAGAGAACAUGAAUUUAUUCAAGACAUAAACAAUUUGUUUUUCUUAGUUUCCUUUUGCUGUAUGGGAAAACUGAAGAUGGAGUUUGGGAGGAGAGAUUACCUGUUAGUGGAGUGGGUAUGUAAACCCAAAUGAAUGAUAGUCAAACUAGUCUCUCCAAGGAAAAAGUGCCUGAAAAUAUCUCCUUCUCUCUCUAGAGAAAAACUUUCUUUUCUUUGAGAAAGAACCCAGGUCUUCCCCUCUUCCCCUCUCUCUCGUCAAGGAUCUAGAUCUCAGAUCUGGAUCUUUGGCUUGAGAGUAGUGGGAGUUUCCUCUGCCUCGAUGAUGGCGGGUCCCUUUUUUCUUUUGCUUUUGUUUUCCUCUACUGCUCAAAUCCCUUCCGAUCUUUCCUAGCCUUUCGAUUUUGGAUUUCCCAUCUCUUUCAACCUUCUCCAAUACACCAGAUCUUUGAUUCUUCAUGCCUAAGAUGCACAUCCUCCUUCAGCAGACCUAACUUCACCGAUUGUUCGUUGGUCCUUCGGAGCUCCGAUGCCGGCGUCGUUUGGAUCGUCUGUUUCAAAAGGGUUUUCCCGUUAUUGCACGUAAAUCCGAUGGUCUCGAUAGUGCCAAAAGAGGCUGCUUGUCUGUCUCUACUUUGAUUCCUUUGCGGAUCGACUCUUUCUCUCUCAUCUCUUCUUCUUUUUUGUACUUUUUUGGUUCUGAUGUUAGUUUUAGAGGAUGUUUUGUAUGGUUCAAAGAUAUGGGUUAUGGAGAUCCUUGUAGGGGUUAUAUUCUUCUGUUCUUGUAUGGGAUUGUAUUGGUUGAUUUUCGAGUUUUCUUCGGCAGAUCUAGUGAUGGUCCUGGGUUAUGUUUGGGUGGUGAUGGUGGCGUCAGCGUCUCCAUACCCCUUGCUCCUGAUUAAUCUGCUCCUGUGGAUGAAGCUUGUUGAUGCUAUGAUGUUCUGGGUUUAUGUAUGGGUUUAUGUAUCUAACUCCAUGAGUGAGUCUUGUUUUUAAUUUUUGUAUUCAAUUCUGUUGAAUAAAAAUAUCCUGCCUUUGCCACACAAAAAAAAAACCCAAAUGAAUGAUGAAUCGAUGUAGGUUUUUGUGAAUUGAAAAGUCAAAUAGCUAGGUUUUAAUAGGUAAUUAAGAUUGUUUUUUGUUUUUUAUUUCAUUAUUCAUUUUUGUUUGGAAUUUAUUUAUUUUAGGGUUUGAUGGGUGAAAAUGUCUAUCUUGCCCUUAACUUUCGACUCAACUUAAUCACAUAUGGUCAGCAUUAACGUUGAUGUGACGGAAGUGAACUGUAGGUACUAUAAAAAUAUGAAAAUAUGAGUCUGGGUACUAUUUUGAUAACUUUGUAAGUUCAGGUAUCAUAUUGUCAAUCAUUCAAGUCUCCAAACACCGUUGGUGCAAAAAAUCCCAUUAACAAUGGGUGCUGAAAUCUACACACCUUUUUUUACAAACCACACACCCUUUGUUUUUUUAAUAAUAUCAUACCUCACAUCCUUUUAUACUUCCUGCUGUUGUAAAUAUUAUAAUAUAUGUGGAUGUCCUUGUAAAUACUCAUUAGUAUGUCCUUAAUAUGUAAAUCAUACUCCUAUAUAAAGGAGCCUAAUGAAAAUGAAAGUGACACUUCUUUCUCCUCCUACAUUUUGUUCUUCUCUUUUCUCUCUAUCUCAUUCUUAGUUUAUAACACGUUAUCAGCACGUUUUCGCUCAUUCGUUUCAUAAACUCCAUGACGAUCUAUGAGAUAUUGGUGCAACUUUUGUUGCUUAUUAUCCAUACUCACGAUCUAUG